AUCCAUCCACAUGCAACGGUGUUGACUGUUCGUGUGAGCUUCCAGACUCCCCAUACUGUGCAAUCUGGCGAUGCAGGAGGCCCACUGAUAUGCCCUGACCAGACAGGUCAGCUGAUUACAGCGGGGCUUGUUGCCGACAUGCCGCCAGUGUGUUCCGGCCCUCCAGAGUUCAUCAGUCUCUUGCCUGAUACAUUCGACUCCUCUGUACUCCCAGCUUAUUAAAUACACUUAUUGUC
Long non-coding RNA from Haliotis rubra (blacklip abalone), 236 nucleotides. RefSeq lists it as uncharacterized. NCBI's taxonomy places the organism in Eukaryota, Metazoa, Mollusca, Gastropoda, Lepetellida, Haliotidae. The transcript has 2 exons. The record is from RefSeq and is a predicted model, not a curated record.